Molecule: transfer RNA, 87 nt
Filed under: Candidatus Acetothermia bacterium
Lineage: Bacteria; Candidatus Bipolaricaulota
Description: tRNA-Leu
Rfam family: tRNA
About the family: Transfer RNA (tRNA) molecules are approximately 80 nucleotides in length. Their secondary structure includes four short double-helical elements and three loops (D, anti-codon, and T loops).
Source: RNAcentral
GCCAGAGUGGCGGAAUUGGCAGACGCGCGGGACUCAAAAUCCCGUGGCCUUCGGGUCGUGUGGGUUCGACUCCCACCUCUGGCACAA